AAUAUACUCCCUCGGUUCCGAAUUACUUGUCUUGGAUUUGUCUAGAUAAGGAUGUAUCUAGACUCAUUUAGAUACCUCCGUAUCUAGACAAAUCUAAGACAAGUAAUUCGAAACGGAGGAAGUAUCAG
Triticum urartu is the source of this 128-nucleotide non-coding RNA. NCBI's taxonomy places the organism in Eukaryota, Viridiplantae, Streptophyta, Magnoliopsida, Poales, Poaceae. The record is from Rfam.